CCUGUACAGUCUAUGCUGCUACAGAUACGAGGUGAUGCGACCCCCCUGAGGGGACUGCUCUUAGACCUCACUCAUGUGGAUGACAGCUGGACUUCGGUGUGGCGGAGACAGUAAACAAUGAAGAGGAAGGGAACCAACACCAGCUUUUCCCAGCCUAAAAGAAGAGAGGAGGAAGAGCAUCCCAGAGAGGAGAUGGAGGAGGAAGAGUUCAGAGAGAGAGAAAGACAUGAAGGCAUGCAGAGCUCAGACAGCGAAAGCAACAGUGAUCCUCAGGGAGCAGAGCAGCCACCAGGAUGGCAGAGCAGCAGCCAAUGGCAGGGCAGGACAGUGAGGCCCCGAGGCUGAUGGGAGCUAAAGUCUGUCCUCUUUUACUAUGCUGCUUCUGCAGUUAGUAUAACUAACAUAUAAUGUCUUCCACAGAAGGCCUGCGACUAUGGAAGACAAAAUUUGAUUCAAACACGACGUGAUUUUGCUGAUGAGUCUGCUUGACCUGGUUGAACAUGUCUGACUCAAGUUGGGAUGAAACUCUCCUGACGCUUUGUCCUGCAUGACACAUGGUUACGUCUCUCUGCUUCAUGGUAACACAAUUUUCUGAAGUGUAACAAGAUUAAACCACCUGCCUAAUAUUGUGUAGGUCCCUUAUGUACAACCAGAACAGCUCUGACCCAUCAAAGCAUGGACUCCACGAUACAUCUAAAGGUGUCCUGUGGUAUCAAGACAUUAAUAGCAGUCAGCACUGUGAACCCUUUGAUGUGUUCCUCCACAACCGACAUUUUUAUUAUUUUUUUAAUGUACAUGGUCUUGAAUUACUGGAACUUACGGUUUAAGUUCAGGACACCAGCUAAACCCUCUGAAUAUAAAUGCUACCAUGAAGCAGAGACGUAACCGUCAUUCCAACCAGAACCUGCAGCUGCUCACCGUACUGACUCAUACAUGUUCAACCAGGUCAAACAAACUCAUCAGCAAAUUAAUGUCGUCUUUAUGCUUGAUACAUACAAAGAAUUAGGCUUCCACAUUAAAAAUGCUCCAAAGUCCAUCUCUAAGGCACUAAUGUUAGCAAUAAAAUGGCACACUCUAUGAAAAGAAAACCUUCACAAAGACCAGCUUUUGAUAUAUUUUUUGUUCUAAGGCAAAUCAUACAAAAUAAUAUUCAUAAAUACGUGACAUUUUUUACCGUAUUGUUGUGAAAAAAACUUAAAAAUAUCCCACAUUUACUUUUUAUGCUGAAUAUGCUUAAAUUGUUCAAUUUCAUUCUGAGUUUAUGAAUAAAGUACUGAGCCAGUGUUUUUCUAUAAUAUAAUCAGUACAAUGUCUUGCUUCAUAACAAUUAAACAUCAUGCAAAAAUUAAGUUAAGCAGUUCUUGCUGAAUGAAGGUCAAAUUUACAGCUGUUCUACUCAAAUUUGUGUUCAUGUUUGUGUAUUAAACAAAGAAUAUUCAAAGUAAUAUAAACCAGGACCCAAGAAUUCAAGCUACCAUUUCGAUCUACCAUUCUAGAGAUUCCCUAACCCAGUCAUCUACUCAUCACUUUUGGGCUCUUACAAAAGUUGCUCAGAUCUGUGCACUCCAUGUUUUUCCUGCCUCCAACACAUCAUCUUCAAGAACUGACUGUUCAAUUGCUGCUUCGUAUAUCUUAACCCUUGACAGAUGCCACUGUAACAAGAUAAUCAGUGUCAUUCACUCCAUCUCUGUGGUUUAAAUGUUGUGGCAGACUGGUAUAUACACCGUUUAUAGUAAAAGAUCUAACACCAUAUAGAACACAGUGCAACUGUUGUCUUUGCUGCCUCCUGCAGGAAUGUUUAAGCACAUCAGCUGUCCACUGAUCCACAGGGAGUUCGCUCCCCAGGGAGUUCGCUCCCCAUUUCAGGAUGUGAUGCCUUCAGAACCACCUAAUUCACAGAUGAUUUCAAACCAAUACCUCUCUGGUCUCCAUGAAUAAUUAAUUGUAACAGAUAAAGGUAUUUUGCAGUUAAACUUCUUCAACUGACAUCAAAACUAUGAAAAGCCUCUGACUAAAAAUGCUAAGGCAGUGCCGGUUGCUUAAAAAGAAAAAAAAAAACAAAACACACAGGAAUACAAUUUUGAUUAUUUAAAAAAAUGUAUUUGUAUGUACUUACAUACUGGUGUCAAAAGAGUAUGCACCAAAAAUGUCACAUUGACUCACAAUUACAAAGAAAAAGUGUUUUCUUUUUCUUCAAUUACAAGUAUUGAAAAAACUAUGUACAGAAAAAAGGGCAUGGUGACAAGAUAGUACACUAGAAACAAACUUACAGUCACACAAUGUUUUAUAUGAGGCUUCUGCAAAUAAAGAAAAAAAUCUUCUAAACAGUUACACUGUCUUGGUGCUCUGAACUUCAAAUUGUAUUUCCACUCAGAAGGAUAUCCUCUCCACAGUCCAGCAUCAAGGCGUUUUCAAAGUGUGCUCACAAAAAGGAUUUGUUUAAAAAACCCAGAGGACUGAUUCAUCAAAAAUGAAAAAAAUAAACAAACCGUUGAGUGGAAAUACUUUUUUACUUAAAACACAUGGCCUAGAGAUAAUCUUAAAAAGGUGUUAAAGAGGGAACAGAUGGGGACAGUAACUGGGCUGGAGGAAGCUUGCAGUCCUGGAGACGAGCUAUGUAGCGGACCACUUCUCUAUGGAUGGAAAUAAAAGGCUUGUCUGUGGGUCCCUGCUAUCAUAUGUUAAAGAUGGAAAGUACACUCGCUCCAAAAACCUUGGAACCCCACCCCCUCUUCUGAAAAUGUAAAGAUUUUAAUCGAGACAAGACACAAACCAGGAAUGACAAAGGCAGGAUGAUGGCGAUGUGGGCUGUUUUGUGAUCAGCAAGACUGAAAAAAUAUCCUUUUGAAGGGGUGCUAAUAGCUAAAAAUAUAUAAAUGGAAAACUAGAGCAACUGGACUUGUACCCCAAAUCCAUCAGUUCCUCUCCUUCUAUAAGUGGAAUCAAAGCGAUUCACACAAACUGCCCCUGAACAAACUCAGGUUGAGAGAUUGACAUCAGAGAGGAGCCUGAAACAGAACACUAACACAUUCAGUGCAACACUAGACUAGCACAUUCAUUCCCACUGCAUCAUGAAGCUUCAAUUUAGGGUUCGCUGGACAAUAAUGUCCUCUAUUAGUUCUUUUACAGUUACCUUUAGGCAGAGACAAUCUGCAGCCAAUUUGAAUCUUUUCUCUGGGUUCAGUUAAUCUGAGAAGAAUGUGAAACAGCACCUAAAAGGAAUCCAUGGCUUUCAUGGCACUUUGUUGGUACAACACUCCAAGUAUUGUGCAGUUCAUCUUAAUAGUAUUGUGCAUGUUUCAUAUCGUAAAGCCAAAAUAGAAACUCGUGUCACGGUUUAAAAUGACACGGCAAUCAGACAUGAGACUCCACGAACUGUCCUCAAACUUUCUAAAAACAAACUGAAGCCGUCACAUGGGAAGUGAUUUUAACGAUGAGAGUGCAGUGUAUGUCUGCAGGGAAGAUGAGGCACCUCGCAAAUGUUUAGGGAAAAAAAAGGACACCAAUCUCUGUAGACUGGUUCCUCCUGCAGCAUCCUACUAGUUACAAAUAUAUGGAAACUGCUGUGCUAUUACCAUGCCAGUGACUGGUGCCUCUUCUGAAUUUAAGAACUAAAAGUGUGUCCAGUUUCUUUCCGGCUGGACCAAUAAAAGAAAACUGCAGGGUGUGUUAAAGUGAAACUCCACCCAGAACAGAGCACAAAAACUAUAGUGAUGACCUUAGCUGAUCUUUAAGCGUAUGUAUAUAUAGCCUUUGUAAUGUCUGUUUGGGGGUGAAAUGAUGUCUGCGAGGUAAGGAUUUAACUUUGAACAGAAUGUGUCUCUGGUGUAUCUGGGGUAGCCUUGGACCAGCUGCUCCCUCUGGGAUAUUUUCUCUCUUCCUUUAGUCACUUUUUGCCUUUUUGCUGUCAUUUCCAUUCUCCUCCAACUCCGUCUCUUCUGCCCCCUCCUGGUGCUUCCUCUUCUUUGUGUCGUCUGACUGAGUGGGGGACGGGUGUGGCCGAAAGGUGAUGAUGAUGCAGGUCAUGUUGUCGCAUCCUGUCCCGUCUCCAGAUGUGUCGGGGGCCAAGCAGUGGUCCAGCAGCUGUUAGAAAGAUACAAGGUGUGUGAAAUUAAAGGUGUAAAUCCUGGGCAUUGUGAGGCAGAUGGCACGAGGACAGAGGAAUUAAAAAUGACAUGUUAAUUUUUUGCUCUCACCUCUUCCACUAUGGAUGAAAGAGGUCUGGUUUUGCCAUUCUGGUCUUGUUUCAUCCUUUCACUGAUGAAGUCCACCACCUCCUGACUGCUUAACACAUUCCUGUAAACAGAAAUAUGGAAACAGAUUAAUGAAGAACCUAAUGAGUAUUAAUAAGGAAAUUUAGCUUGUGAAAAUAUGGCUACACCAUAGCUACAAAAUAAAAUGUUCCGCUUCUUGACAGAAAAGCUUGUUAGCUUAGAAAAUUGUGUUUCUGGACAUAAAACAGUUGUCAUUUGUAAAGAAAAAAACAUGAAGAAACCUACAAAUGAAUAGUUAGUUACUGGAACAAACCGCCACCGACUGCUCAAACUCACCAGAUACCAUCGCAGGCAAUGACCAUGAAGUCGUGGUCCUCGUUCAGAGUCAGAACUUUGACAUCAGGCAUUGCAGAAAUCAUCUGCUCCUCUGGAGGCAGAGUCUUGUUCCUCUUAUAGAAGUGGUCACCUGAGAAUCAGAGUUCAGAUUUAAAGCAGUGUCGUCGCAGAGGAGGAGGAACAUUGUAUAUUGAUUAUUUGAAUCCAGUGUUAAUUUUAGAAUUACACAUCCUAAAGCAAACAACAGGAUGCCUUACAAGAGUUCUGAAGUUUAAUACUAAAGUCAUUCCUACCAAUAGCUCUGGAGAGGUUCAGUCCACCAUUGACCCGUCCGUCCAUAGUCACUUUCCCACCAGCAUUUUUAAUGCGAGCGAGUUCCACCUCGUCCUCCGGCUUGUGGUCGUACGACAUGUCGACGGCUUUGCCUACAGUGACGCAGGAACAGAGCUCUUACAUUUCAUUCAACAUUACUGCCAAGCAUUUUGUUAAAACUUUUGGCACUUCGCAUCUCAGUGGAAACCAAAUAAGACUCAAUUUCACUACGGUGCUAAAUAGACAAAUAAUAGAAAAAGUGUUGAAAAGCAUCUGAAAGGGACUGCAAUGAGAAUUUAAAUGACAUUAAUUAAAAUAAACUCUGACCUCCUGUUGUUGUAGGUAUUACCACCACCAUUUUAUCUUCAUUUCAACAAAAUUAUGUGCAAACCUCAAGACAGGAUAAAACUAGUCAAAUCUAACUGUAAAACAAAAUUAAAUAGAAUAAAGUACUAAAACAAGCAAAACAACUUCUAAGAUCAAUUUCAAAAAAAUAAAUAUGAAAUAUUAAGACCAUUAAGAGCAGAAAAACAUCUAAAUCUUUUUGUGCAACAAUUCAACAUGUCAAAAAGGUAAAAUUGCACAAAGUGCUUUGGACCUACCGCGUUCAGACACCACACAGCGAGAGUCUCCAGCGUUGGCCACGAUCAGCUGCUUCCCUCUGAUCAGAGCCACGACGGCUGUGGUGCCGCUGUCUGAGCCAGGCUGUGAGGCCACAAACACAGGAGAUGUGACACACCAUUAAAACUCCAUGAUGGCUUACACUGACAGAUCUUCACAUGAUACAAACCACCCAUGCAAACGCAUUCCAACAAUUUAUUUUAUGACCAAAAGUCAGUCACUGAAAACAGCUUUGCAGCUUUCAGCAGAGAGAAGACUGGAAGGCAGCCACAAAAGCUUCUUCCAUUUAAUCAAAGUCGUCUCAAGUCAUCGAAUUUGGCUUCUGUGGCCAAUUUAAAGCAGUUGUUUGUUGGGUUCAUUACUUGAAAUUACUGUUACGCUCUUUAAAUGGCUAAAAAAAAAAACAAAAAAACAUCAACUUAAGCUAACUUGGCUGGUUCUCAAAAGUAACGAGGAGGAAAAUUUUAGUAAAGUUUUAAGCACACCAGGAAAAUGGCUUCAACAAUGUUACAAGUAGGCCUGGACGACUUUACAAAGUCUUCAACUUCUCAUUGUCGAUACUGCUGCCUAGUAACUUAGUCCCUGGAUACACCUCCCAAUAGAUGCAAAGCACAUUGAUAGACUUUGACUGAAUAUGGCUUCCUGUAAUACCAUCAUUGCUCUAUAUGUCACUGCCACUUUAUUGUGUACAGAUAAUAUUUUACACAUUAAGUAUUUCUGGUUGUGCACAUGCUUUUAAUGCACAGUUAAACUUUUCUCACCUGCAGCGUAAUGGCCUGUUCAGAAGGCAAACGUCCUUAGAGACAAAAUAAAUGCCGUUCCGACUUUUCUCACAGUUCUAACAUUCUGAAAGUCUUCAAACUGAAGGCGUCACGAGAAACUGACUUUAAGUUUUUUGACAAGCUGCAAAAACUUAACAUGGAGAGUUCAGCUACAAGCAUGUCUACCACUACCACCAGCGAUGACCAUCUCUUAGGAAAACAAACUGCCGCCUCAUUUAGAUUCCCCAGUGUCACACCAUGUGACACAAUUUGAGAUUCAAUGUUGUUUCCAAAGAGGAUGAAUCCAUGAUUUUGAUGUUCUGUGGUUGUACGGUGCUCAUGUUCAAUUGGAACAAUCUUACCGGAUGCACUAGUUUUGAAUUUCCUUGUAAUUAUGCAUGAUGCAAGCACUGGAAACUGGCUUUAGUCAGUAUUUUGUCACAAUAUGCUCAAAAUUGAACACCCAUCAUUGGUAUGACGAGUUUUCAACCCCUACUGAAUCACAUUAAAGCAAUUUUGGAAGCCAAAAGAGUCAAGACUAUGAUAAAAAAUUAUCAUUUUGAGCUCCACUCUAAAGACACAAUAAGUUUUAACUUAAUAUCUGAAAAGAUCAUGAUGAAGUCAUGACAGAUCAUAUUCCUAAAAUCAAGUAUAUGUUUCACCUGCACUGUGUAUAGGGAUUUUUAGCAGCUCAACUGUUCAUUUCAGUCGCCCUCUUCGUACACACCUCCUCUUUGCCAUCCAUUCCUGGCAGACACAUUUCCUCCUCCUCCUCUUCAUCCUCAGAGUCUUCCUCUCCCUCCUCUGUAUCCUCCUCUUCUUCCAACUCACUGCUGUCACCCUCUUCCUCUUCACUGCCAUCCUGACAGAAAAAAGACAAAGCAAUUAUCACAAUACUUACAAAGUUAUUCAGAGGGAACUUUCACAGCCCAACACAAUGGUCUAUUCUGGUCUCCUGCUCUCACCUCUUCAUCGCUGCCCUCCUCCUCCUCCUCGCCCUCCUCAGACUCCUCACUGUCAUCAAAAAACCUCGACUUGGAAUCUCCUGGGGCUUUCGAGGAUGAGGAACAGGAAGGACCUGCAUCUCCUUCUGCCUUUCCAGCCUUUUCCUCCCCGUUGGAGCUUCCUGACCCUCCACAGCCUCCUGCUGUCGAGAAGAAACGAGCACGUGAGAUGGUGGACGAAGUGGAGUAAAGAGCGAAUAUAUGUGCAAAGCAGAACAGAUAAGAAGAUGCUGAAUCAAGUGCUUGGCUACACAUUUUUCACAUACUUGUGAACAGCAGCUGCUCAGUGUUUGUAGAGUUUUUGUUAAUGAACCAGUAGUUAGUAUUAAGAUACAAAUACAUUUUGAAGCAUUUCUGAAAGGCACUUAGUCUUCAUAUAUCAACUUUGUCUGUCUUCCCUUAGAAUAUGUCAACUUUCAAAUGAAACUGAAUCUUAUCUCCUGACCUGCACCACUGCCUUCGCCUCCUCCUGCUCUCCGACAGGCUCGCAGCUUAGACCCGCAUGAUGCUCCUUCGCCUUCCUUCACCUUCCCAUUGCUCUCCUCCUCCACCUCCCCGUUCAGCCCCUCUUUCUUCGAUCCGUCUCCACCUUCCUUUUUGUCUGCCAAAGCCUCGGGAUGCGAGCAAGACGCCUUCUUAGCAGCGGCACUAGAACCAAACACAGAGAUAAUACAAAUGAAACUGGAGACCAUGUUGCAAUGUAAUACAAGUAAUCACUAAAUUAUGACAUUAACACUUUUAAUAUUUGUCAAAGAUUAAUUAAUUAGCUGCAAAUUAUUAAAAUAAUAGCCAACUAUUUUAACAUUAUGAAUAUUGUCUGGUGCCUUGAGUCCUCUAUGACAGUUAACUGAAGCUCUUUAGGUUGUGAACAAAACAAGACCUUUGACAAUGUCAUCUUGGGCUUUGGCAAACACUAAAGAACUUUUUGUUUUUAUCAUUUUCUGACAUUACAUAGACAAAAGAGCUAAUUGCUUAUUCGGGGGGUAAAUGGACAAUGAAAACGAACUUUUCCUGCAGCCCUAAACAUUUGUGAUACCUAUAUUUGCUGACUUGCAUGAUAUCACCACUGAUGAUGCACCAUAAAGUAAGACUUUCAGGAAGUUCAAAUCUCCGUCUCCCAGCAUCUUCACUAUCACAGUCGUGACGCUCCUUAUAUGAGGAGUCAUAAUAGUGAGUUUGUUGGAUUACCUCAGGGCAGCAGCAUGUUUAACGGCAUUGCGGUUCUGGCCGUAGCGAACCAGCAGCUCCUCUAUGGUCAUGGUGGCCUCCUCGUGGAGCAAAGCUGCCUCCUCCGUGUCCACUGAAAGGAGGGCAGAAACAUACAAUCACUCAGAUGUUAUCAGAACUUUUACGAUUCGACAUGAAAGUUUUAAUCUACCAGAAGUGUAUACAGUACUUUCAGUAUUACUAGUGGACACGAUAACCUUGUUCCUGGUUUUCUAUGCUGGAUCCCAAUACUCUAAUCCUACGUUGACACUUAACAUGAAAGAGCUUUUUCACAGGUCCAUAGCAAACAGUGCUCAGUGAAUAUCAGAGGUGUACUCACAGUCAUCCUCCUCUGAAACCUUUUCAGCAGGUGGCUCCUCAGUGGGUCGUCCAGCGAUCUGGACCAGCUCCUUAAUAACUUCUUCUGUGGUCAUUCUGCUGUCGAUGGCCAAGAAGGCAUCCUCCAGUGCCUGGAAACAACAUGGAACAAAUCAGUACAGUAAAGCAGAGGGAGGGAAGUAAACACACAGAUUCCAAUCCUGCCAAAUUACUAACUAUACCAAAGUCAAGCAGCCUACAUCUGGUCAUGGAGCUCUCUUCUCACACAAACUCGUUUCAGAUAAAUAGGUCAGUCCUCAACUACUGUGGCCUCUCACCUUUUGAAGUUUGCCGUCUUUGUAAGUUUUCUGUUCCUUGAUGAUGUCAGGAAGGUACUUUGAACAGUACAGAGCCACCUCUUCACCUAAAUGGGCACAGUGAGUUAUAUAAAUUCUUAUGAUAGGUGUGUGUAAACAAAGCAGUUAUGGUAUAUGGGUGUGUAAAACAAACAACAAAAUGAGGAAAACCAUAAAAACAUAGUUGGGUGUGUUAUGAUACAAAAUUCAGAAAGAGAAGAACAUUUGUGCCUCUGAAAUAUGGCUUCAAUGAAACAAAUGCUGCAGUGCAGUACACUAGAGUCUACAAAAUAAUAUCCAUAGAAGACGGCAGUCUGUUACCUCCAUGUCCAUCAUACACAGAAAACAUGGCUGUCUCCUCAUCAAACUCGGGGAUACAAUUAUGAGCAUCCUGGAACACAGACAAAUCACAGCAAAAUUAAAACCCCUGUUCAUGUAACAAAGCAACUUGUAAGCUUAGAGCAGACCUGUUAGAAAUGACAAAAAAUAGAGACCCUGCACAUUAUCUUCACUCCCUGCCAAACCUGUUGGCAGCUUUGAAAGGCUUAUCUUUAAAAACGAGCCCAAACUACUUAUUUUAUCAGACCAAGAACCUGUUAAAAAAAAAAAAAAAAAAACUAUAUCACUUUUUAACUUUCUGAGAGAUGUUGAACUAGUCAUCUGAGGUGUGUUCUAACUGGAAAAUUUACCAAAGUUUAAAACGGUGAUAUUUUACCAAAAAUCAUAUUUAAAAUUUUGUCUGCACAAAACAGAUUCUGUAAAAAAAAACAAAAAAAACAAAAAAAAAAAAGAUCUGUACUUUCCAGUGCAAAUGUGACACCAUUUGUGACUGCUAUGGGGACAGCUCUGCAGCGUUUACACAGGACAGAUAUGAGAAAAGUAUGGAGAUGAAUUUAAAAAUUAAGUAGUAAAAUAUGUACAGUGUGUAGAGAUACUAUUUUCCCAACACUGGCAACAGUUGGGGGUACUUGGAAAAAUGCUUUACACAUUGACUUCAGCUUUUUCAAUUCCUGCAAAAUAAACAAUUAAAGAAACAGCCUUUUUUGAGUACUCCCUACUUCUGUUAACAGUUGUGCUAUUUCCACAUAGGCAGUGGACUAUAUAUUAAAGUGAAAAAUGAGCCCACAGUGAGCAAACGGGACAGGAGCAAUAAACACCUAGAAACCACUUGGAGUUCAGAGGGUUAAAUACAUAUAAAUGGCAAAUGAUGUUGGCAGGUUAACAAAGUUUCUGUACUCUGACAACAUGUUCAUUAAUGUCUUUUGACUAAAUUACUCACCUGCAUUUAUUAGUCACCGUUAUUAUGCUGAGAGUUGAUGUAUUAAAGCUAACUGGCUACAUAAUUGGGGAAUGUGUCUAAUUGUGUCAUCACUUAAAAUGAGACACAAACAUCAGAUCUGUUAGUAAUAUCCUGUCAGCUGCGGUGAAAUUCUUUCUUCACAAGACUGCAGCAGACAUCAAUUACAUGCUGUGGGAGAGUGCUAACAAUGUAACUCGGCAUGCUAAAAAAAAAAACAUCCUGAAGACGAAUUCUCAUUGUCACCAAUCACUGCAGCUGGUGCUGUGGAAGAGUCGGGUUAGCAGAGACUCACUGGAUCUCUAGGAGACACCAACAAACCCCCACACAAACACACAUACAAAGAGAUCCCGCCAUUUAAAACUCCAUACACAUGUGUUCAGGAAGCAGAGCGGCAAUAUGAUUGUUUCAGAUCCAGCCAUUCAUUUUGUGCCUCACCUCCAUGGAGACCCGCCAGCCCUGCAUGGCAGAGAAGCCGUAGCUCAUGCUGCUGUUGCCGCCAUCGGAAGAGGUCUUGGUGGUGUUAGGCUGCGACAGAUAUGCCCCCAUGGUUGUUGGAUUCUAUGUCUUUACACCUGGAGAGGAGACGGCGCGGGGGGAAAACAUCACAUUUUAGCUCCACACAAAAGGACACACGUGUAAAACUCAGCAUUCGUUAAAUUCCAGCUGCUUAACCAGCUUCGCUAGUUACGGUUGCUAGCUAGCUAACGUUAGCAACGCCACAACAAAAAGUAGACGCAUCGGCUAGCUAACAUGACCGAGCUAACAGCAGCGAACCCGGCUAAACUUCCAGCAGUAACCUCUGCCCCCGCCAUGCGAGCGGCUGCGCAGUUGGAGAAACAUCAAACGCUGGGCGCCGACGGCUACUUUACCUAUUCUGACAGAGCAGGACGAGCUGAUAACCGGGUCCGAAAGACGGAGAUUCACAUAGGAAUGAUUACACGUGUGGAAGCAAAAGCCGCUAUCAACACAGACGGACUGAAAAGAAGCAGCAGCCGUGGAGGAAGUGAGCAGUCGCGCAUGUCCGUUUCCUUCCAACAAAGGGGCGUGUCCGACGUGUACGUCUUACGUCACUUUUUAAAAUCUGUGAACAGACGUUGUAACGUACGGCCAUAGACCGUAUGCAGCAGGGGUGUCAAACUCAUUCUAGUUCAGGGGCCACAUUCGGCCCAGUUUCAUCUCAAGUGGGCCGGACCAAUAAAAUCACAGCAUAAUAAUCGGAAAAUAACGACAACUCCAAUUAUUUUCCUUUGUUUUAGUGCAAAAAAGUACAUUCUAAAAAUGUUCACAUUUCAGGAAUUAAAAAACAGGACACAAAAUGUCAAAAGCGAGAAACAAAAUGACAAAAAAUGAGACAAACAUUAAACUAAACAAAGACAAAAAAUUUGACUAAGAAGUUAAAAAUCAACAAAAAUUUUGUCAAAUUACACCAACCAGACAAAAAAUGACAAAAGCGAGAAACAAAACGAUAAAAAAUAUAAAAACACAAGCGAGACAAAAAAAACUCCAAAAUGACAAAAAUAAGACCAAAAAAAAAAUACAAGCGAGACAAAAAGGGAACAAAACAACAAAAAUGACAAACAAAAUGACAAACAUGAGACAAAUGACAUGGAACAAAACAAAAAAUGGCAAAAAAUAGACAAAAAAGUUACAAACAACAAAAAAAUAGAUAAACAACACAAGGGAGACAAAAAAACACAAAACAAAAAUGAUACACAAAACAACGAAUAAAGCAAAACAGAAAAAUGACUAAAAUAAUACAAGAAACACAAGCAAAACUAAAAGGAAACACAAAAUGACAAAAAAAAUGAGACAAAAAGGCAAAAAACGACAAAAUAUUACAAAAAUGAGACACAAAACAACAAAAGAACAAUGAGCAAUCUAGUAUUUUACUUUAUGAUCAAAACAACUUGUCAUGGUGUAGAAAUUAUUUUAAAUUUAUAGUUUUACAAAUGUAAAAUUUGCAAUUAAUGUCUUCUCUGUAAUUUUUACACUUUACAAAGUCGUCCCACGGGCCGGACUGGACCCUCUGGAGGGCCGGUUUUCGCCCGCGGGCCACAUGUUUGACAUCCCUGGUAUACAGUCUAUGCGUACGGCGUGUACUGAAGAUAAACCCAGCAGUAACAGCAAUCUGCAAAGUAAAUACACAAUAUUAAAACAAGAUAAAAAGGAAUACAUAAAAAACAAUAAAGACAGAAGCAUUAUAUUAUUUAAUCUAAAAAUAUAUGGUAAAGACUACAAAGAUGCUUAAAUUCAAGGAUAUGGCACAUUUUUUAAAGCAACUAUUGUGCUCUUUAUUAUUAAAAAAAUGGAAUGCACCAAAUAAGUUUAAUAUUGAGAGUGAUAUGCUGUAGUAGUUUAAUUUAUGGUGUGAAUUUAGGUGAGUCAGAAAUAUUAGGGAAUAAAACCAACAAAAAUUCAAUAAAAUUCAACUUUACACACACACACACACACACACACACCCACACGCACACGCACACGCACACGCACACGCACACGCACACACACACACACACACACACACACAAGCUACCUCUUGAAACUGUAAGAAGACUUUAUAUGGCUGAUAUCUAAAUUUUAAUCUAAAUGUAUGUAAUAUUUGGCAAACAUUUCAAGAGUUAUUCAGUUUUUUUCAGUUAGCAGUCUUUAAAAAUAUUUGAAUUCAAAGCGUAUGCUAUUUUUACGUUUUUGAUUAUUAUAUUUAGGGUCCUCGCACCACGAAGUGGUGCGAGGAACCUAUUGAAACCCUAGGAAUUAUUAGGGUCCGAGCACCGAAUGGUGCGAAGACCCUAUUGGAAUGCAAGGAAUUAUUUAUUAUUAUUCAUUCUUUUACCGUCUUUUGAAUUGCAUUUUUGGCGGCCUUAUCAUACCCCAAAACGUGUGAGACUUGGCAUGCUCAUCAGGACUGGCGAAAAAUUUGAUAUUUUAUGGGAGGUGCGCAUGUGUGUGGAAAAAUGGCUCUAUAGCGCCCCCUGCAAAAUUCAAAAUUUGGUCAUUAGGCCAACUGGCAGGGUGUUUCAUCUACAGCUACAAAAUUUUGCAUGCAUAUUCAGCCCAUCAGGACACACGAAAAAGUCAAUAAUGGCUAUGCCCUAAACCCAACAGGAAGUCGGCCAUCUUGAAUUAACUGUGAUAUUUUUUCUGACUAAUAACUCAUCGGGGGUAAGUCCGGGAGACGUCAAAUUUGGCAAAUAUAUGCAACAGUCAUCCCUGAUGAAAAGUUAUCAAAAUGCUCUGCAAAAGUCAAAGGGCGUGGCCAUGGCGACUCGCGAUAAUACUGAUCCUUUGCCAUGAAACAGGAAGUAUUGUCUAACUCUGCUGUACAUGUUCCAAUCUGCCUGAAAUUUUACAUGUGUGAUCAGGGUCCAGCCCUGAUGACAUCCAUGUGGUUAUGUACAUUAACAGUCAUAGCGCCACCUUGUGGUAGCAGGAAAUAGACAUUUUUUUACAUUUUGAUGUACUAUUCUUAGCAGGUUGAUCAUAUUCACUUCAAAUUUGGUGACAUAAGCCUGAACACAUUGAUGAUGAUUCCCAGAGAAAAUGGUGACACAUCAUGAAAGGGCGUGUCUGUGGCAGCGUGGCAAAAUUCGAUUUCUCGCCAUGAAAAUUGAAUUAUUUAUAUCUCAGCUGGAAAUGAUCCAAUCCGGACCAAACUUGAUGUGAUGGACACCAGUCAGGUUCUGAACACAUCCACAUUCAUAAAUUUAGAAAAUCUCAUAGCGCCACCUAUUGGCAACAGGAAGAAAUUGUCAUUACAUUUGCACGUGCCAUUGCCUGAAACUUUGUCAUAUCAUUCUGAAAAUUGGUCAGGUGAGUGGUGACACCUUGACGAUGCCACAGUGUGAAGAUUUUGAUGAUUCAUAAAACGCUGUUGCCGUGGCAACGUAUCGUUGCCGUAAUAAACAAAGUACUUUUUGACAGGUUAAAAAUGCUCAAAUGCUCGCCAAAAUUGCCACACAUAUCUGGACCGGCAACCCAUGUGAUAUUUUAGGGAAACUGCACAUGUGUGUGGCAAAAUGGCUCCAUAGCGCCACCUGGAAAAUUUCAAACAGUUACUAUGGCCAGUACGUGUCACCUAGAAUUAUGAAACUUGGUAGGCAUAUGUAACUCGUCAAGACACACAAAAAUGUAAUUGACACUCAUGCCCAAAACCCAACAGGAAGUCGGCCAUUUUGAAUUAUGUCAUAUGUUUUGACGAUUUGGGGUCAUUUUUGUACAUUUUCAAAAGCUAUAAACUCAAAUAGGGUAACACCGAGAGAGCUGAAAUUCGGCCAGGAUGUAUUCCAGUCAUGGGUGAUCAAAAGUUAUCAAAACGCUCCGCAAAAGUCUGAGGGCGUGGCCAUAGUGACCAGCGGAAUGUGCCCAUUUUGAAUGUCUCGCCAUGAAACAGGAAGUGCUGUGUAAGUAGCCUGUACAUGCUCCAAUCUGCCUGAAACUUUACUCUCUCAGUUGCAGCGCCUCCUGGUGGAUAUGCGUGGGCCAGUCGGGCCGCUCGGAUGCGAGGACUUGUCCAACGCUGCUUGCAGCUUUUAUUGGUUUAGUGGUUGGAAGUCAAUAAAACAUUAGCGUCAGUCAAAUUGAAUGCGUCAGUGGAUGGAAGUGGUGGUUGCCUUGUGCUGCUCUUCACUUCACUGCAGCUCCAUGGCUCCAUCUGCUGGACGGACAGAAGUGCAGCAGCUGAUGGCAGCUUCUUUGACCUCACGCUGCUGUCAGACCCCAGAUUAGGGUUUAUUUCAGAUAUAUAUAAUAGAAAAUAGUAAUUAAAAAAUAAGCUGAUGUUGUAUUUUUGCAGCAGUGAGUUUUACAGGGUUAAGAGCAACCAGUCAAAGGUUAUUACUGAGGAUUUUAAACAAAAACAUUCAGGCAAACAGUUAACAUCAUAGGGUGCCUGACAUGUUUGUUUUUUUUCCGGUUCGAUACAGAUUUUUUUUGUAAUCAAGGAGAUCAAUAACCAAGAUUUGGAAUCACUACACAUUUGCAGAAAAAAUAAAGUUUUUGAACAGCACAUAAAGUUAAGUUAAAAUUAAAAUAAUCACGAGUUGCAGCCUUUGCUUAUUUAUGUUUUACAUGUUGAAGUUGUCCUUCAGUGUUUCACUGAUCAGAUUGUGCUGUGGGCAGGAACAAGAUCAGAGGGAGGCAGCUGCAGCAGACCCAAAGUAGUUUCACAUUCAUUUAUCUGAUCAGAUUUCAGGGGGCUUUUUUUUUUUUUUUUUUUUUUUUUUUUUUUUUAAGAAAUGGGACCAAUAAUUGAAAACAUGCUAAAUAUCAGAUGGGAUCAUUGGUGUCACAGGACAUCUGCAGACACAGGUCAAAGAUUACAAGGAGUUUAUUUAACGAAUGAAACUAAAACCAACACAGAAAGGAUAACUAAACCAAGGUGAAAACAAAAAGGGGAAACCAGACUAAUUGUAGGAGAAAGGUUCUGGUUUCAAAGUCUCUGGUCUGGCAGAGAGCGGAAGAAUGAAGAACCGGGCCUUCGUGGAUUAAGGUGAUUGAGAACAGGUGAAUCAACCCCCACAUCUGUGAGAGAGAUGGAUGGAUGGAUGGAUGGAUGGAUGGAUGGAUAGAUAGGUAGGGAGGUAGAUGGACCAUAGAUAGAUGGAUGGAUAGGUAGAUUCUGCAGUGGGGAAAUUUUCAGUGUGGCAGUAGCAGAUAGGAAAAAAAGUAAAAAGAAAAGCAGCACUCAGUGCACAGAUAUAAAUAGAUGCUUUCUCCUUAGAGAAGAAAUAGAAAUGCUUGUAAAAAAAAAAAUCUUGUGAAAUUGCACAUAUUGACUUAUUUACAUUUUAUUGCAGUUACUUCAUGGGUGAUCUGAACUACUGGGAGCAGGUUUGAUUGAACACAGUCUGACUGCUGCAGGAAGGAAGGACCUCCUUCAAACAUUGUGGGUGAAGCAGUCUGUCCCUGAAGGAGCUGCUGGUGAUGGUCCUGUUUCCUGCAGGGGGUGGGAGAUGUCCUCCAUGACAGACAACAGCUUUGUCAUCAUCUUCCUGUCUAACACCAGCCCAGGACAGAGCUUGCUUUCUUAACUGGUUUCUUUAGUCUCUUCCUGUCUGCAGCCGUGAUGCUGCUGCUCCAGCAGACCACUCCAUACAGGAUGGCUGAUACCACCACACAACCAUAAAAGGUCCUCAGAAUUGCUCCCUGCACCCCGAAGGACCUCAGUUUCCUGAGCAGUCAGAGUGUAAAGAAUUGAAGCUGUCAGAGGCUUUCUGUGGUGAAGAGGCUGCAGGACAUCAGCUGCUCCAACAGGUGACGCCUUUGUUCUUUGGCUCCAACCAGAACCAGCAAUAAAUCAGCAUGAGCUGCAGCUUAUCCACCUCAUAGAGCGUAUAAUAAAGAAACCAAGAGGUUUUAGUUGAUAGCUGUCUCUAGUGAAUGACCAGCAGUGUGUUGUUCAGGUUGUGAGGAGAAGUAAAAAGCUUACAGCAGCUGGUAUUCCCAGGUAGUCUCCCAUCCAAAUACUAACCAGGCCCAACCCUGCUUAGCUUUGCAGAUCAGAUGAGAUUGGGUGUAUUCAGUCUCAGAAACAAACCUGCAAUGUAAGUUCUGUACCUCACAUGAUUCAAAUCUCCACUCACACCUUUUAUUUGUCCUUUGAUUGCUCCAGUACUGAUUGAUGCCAUCAUUUAAGCCAAUUUACAACAACACCUUGUAGGAAAUGUGGUGCAGAGGUAAGUUCUGUGCCUCACAUCUUGAAGGUCUCCGGUUGAAAUCCACCUUAGUACCUUUAUUAUCUUCACCUCCUUAAUAGUUUUGUGUACCAUCAUUUAGGAAAACUAACAGUUACACCCAGUAGGAAGGAUAGCGCAGUGGUAAGUUAUCUGCCUCUCAUCCGGGAGGUUUUUGGUUCGAAUCCAGCCCAGGGCUCUUUUGACACUUUAUAAGAUAAGAUAAAGAUAAGAUAAAGUUCUUUAUUUCUCCCCACUCCAGGGGAAAUUUACAUUGUUACAGCAGCUUUAUUUACAAUAUAUACAUACUUUGGCUGUAUGACAACCUCUUUCAACCAUCAUUACAACAAAGUCCACGAAGGACCUUGUGUGAAAGAUAGCUCACACAUAGGUUGUGUGUCUGUCAUGUGGAGGGUCACGGUUCGAAUCCCCACUGGGAACCUUGCGGAGGAUAAUAGCGGAGUGGAAAGGUUGUGGUCUGUGGUGUGGAGUGUCAGUGGAUUGGAGUUGAAGGGUGGUUCCAGCAAAACCAAGAAGUUGCCCGAAAAAGGUAAAGAGCGUAAAGAGCGUAAAGAGCGUAAAGAGCGUAAAGAGCGUAAAGAGCGUAAAGAGCGUAAAGAGCGUAAAGAGCGUAAAGAGCGUAAAGAGCGUAAAGAGCGUAAAGAGCGUAAAGAGCGUAAAGAGCGUAAAGAGCGUAAAGAGCGUAAAGAGCGUAAA
Amphiprion ocellaris (clown anemonefish) is the source of this 17813-nucleotide long non-coding RNA. RefSeq lists it as uncharacterized. The transcript has 4 exons. The record is from RefSeq and is a predicted model, not a curated record. NCBI's taxonomy places the organism in Eukaryota, Metazoa, Chordata, Actinopteri, Pomacentridae.